This 253-nucleotide ribosomal RNA is filed under the name uncultured bacterium. RNAcentral describes it as "partial 16S ribosomal RNA". It matches the Rfam family "Bacterial small subunit ribosomal RNA", at positions 524 to 776 of the family's 1533-position model. The record is from RNAcentral.
UACAGAGGUCUCAAGCGUUGUUCGGAUUCAUUGGGCGUAAAGGGUGCGUAGGCGGCGCAGUAAGUCGGGUGUGAAAUCUUGGAGCUUAACUCCGAAACUGCAUUCGAUACUGCCGUGCUUGAGGACUGGAGAGGAGACUGGAAUUUACGGUGUAGCGGUGAAAUGCGUAGAUAUCGUAAGGAAGACCAGUGGCGAAGGCGGGUCUCUGGACAGUUCCUGACGCUGAGGCACGAAGGCCAGAGGAGCAAACGGG